Molecule: unclassified non-coding RNA, 842 nt
Filed under: Bombus terrestris (buff-tailed bumblebee)
Lineage: Eukaryota; Metazoa; Arthropoda; Insecta; Hymenoptera; Apidae
Description: misc RNA ENSBTSG00005035766.1
Source: RNAcentral
UUUCUUUCCAUAUACGCAUAGACAGUUCAAAUAGCCGCACACUAAUUUAAUCUACGAGUUUGGCAUUGAAGUUCAAGUCAAAUUGGAACUGGUCCAGAAAUCAUUCUAACAUGCGUUAAAUCAUUCUAAACGUUUCCUUGAUUAUAUUAUUCGAAUCUUACCGUCAGAGAUAUCAAUAGAGAGAACAGGAAAGCUUUAUCCAUCUUGGACAAUAUUUUUCUUCCGGUUCACGCUCCACGUAUCAUCUUCUUUUCCACGUAACCUUCUUUUCGUUAAUUUUCUUCGUAACGAGUUUCGAAAUGAUUUCGCGAACAAUUCUUUGUCAUUUUUCGAUUACACCAAUAGUUUUGCACCACACUACGGUAUUUCGAUUCAGUUUUUGUUUCUUCGAAUGUCAUCGAAAUCACAGUAAUCACAGUAAUUACGCUUCACUCGUACACGCUUUUGUUCGUUUGCACCAUCCAACCGUUUAUUACGAUAAUUUACAAGAUGUACUUUUUCUUUCGUUCUGUUUUCAUCUGCAUCGAAUUGUUUCUUAGUCGAGCGAAUUUAUACAAACAGAUGAAGAAUAAAAAUUUCGUCCAGGAUUUAAACCAAUUUUAACCACUUAAUUAUUUCAUAUCCGUGUUCUUUAUUUUCAUACGACACUCUUUCAAAUUAUUCCCGCCGAAAAGUUCACAAAAAAUUUAACGACGUGCAGUACGAUAUACGGAGUUCACGAUGCGCACUGAUCGGUUGCUCGAUCUUUGAGAAAAUGUGAAGCUGCAGCCACGGUAGCGUGUCGCAUGUUACAGAAUACCGAGAGACGAGUUUCUCUGUCGUGCUUUACAGAGGUGUCGUGC